GCGGGCGUAGUUCAAUGGUAGAAUUCCAGCCUUCCAAGCUGGUCGUGUGGGUUCGAUUCCCAUCGCCCGCU
This 71-nucleotide transfer RNA is filed under the name Fuerstiella sp. It matches the Rfam family "tRNA". From Rfam's summary of the family: Transfer RNA (tRNA) molecules are approximately 80 nucleotides in length. The record is from Rfam by way of RNAcentral. Lineage: Bacteria; Pseudomonadati; Planctomycetota; Planctomycetia; Planctomycetales; Planctomycetaceae.